This is a long non-coding RNA of Bactrocera latifrons, 244 nucleotides long. RefSeq lists it as uncharacterized. The transcript is spliced from 2 exons. The record is from RefSeq and is a predicted model, not a curated record. NCBI's taxonomy places the organism in Eukaryota, Metazoa, Arthropoda, Insecta, Diptera, Tephritidae.
UCCGCUCGAUAAUUUUGUAACUCUAUUUCCUUUCCUUAUCGCGGUGGGUUAGACUUGACCUCACUACAUUACAUUGUGAACGUGUUGUGUAACUUGGGAUUUUUAAUUGAUCUUGCAUUUUGUAAGUAGAAAUGGCUCAAGAAAACGAAUUGCCGAGCAAGGAAAGAGCGGUUUCAGGAGAUGAUAUGUCGUUGACAUCUACAGAUAGGAGUAAAGUUUUAACCGAAAAUAUUCAAUCGAAUGG